GCCAGAGAGAAUGGGACUGACCAAGUUAGACAAGGUUGUUAAUUGCUCUUUGUGCUGGGUAACUGUUAGUCUCUCAAUGAGAAACGUGUAUCCAGCGGCCAGUGCUCAAGCAAUGUAAAUGAUAGCAGCAUCCUUGCUUCUCCUUUGCCCUUAAUCUCCUUCUGGAGGCUUGACAAUAAACAGCCAUUCCCCAUCUAUUUUGCAACUUCGAACUCAGCCCCCAUCAAAAGUAAUUAGAUUGCUUUACAUUCAUCCUUUAUGUUCUUGAGCUAAUAGAUGGCUCCUGCAACUCAAAGGGGAGUUCAUUUUUCUGGCUGCCUAUGAGGGACUGAGAAACUGUCAUCUCUGGUCAGCACAGCUCAGUUGUUAGCUGAAUGCCUUGGCAGGGACUGGGGACAUCCACAAAACAUGCAGCCUUUAUACUCUGUAAGAAAGCUGGUGUUUUUACGGUCUAGCAGAGCCCUUCAGCUCUUGGAGUUUCAGUUUCCCCAUCUGUGAGAUGGGCUUCUGCAAAAGAUUUGUUGAUUCAGCAAAUAUUUGUAACUUAUACCACAGCUUUGACCUUGAGAGAGCCAGUAGCCUCUCUGUGAGUCACUUCCCCACUUUUAACAUAGAGGAAAUAAGAAAAUUGCAGUCAGGUGGCUGCCCCUUUUGCCUGUAUUUAGCAGCCUUUCCAGGCAACCAGGGUUGGUUGGUAGGGAGUUUGUAGUCAUAUAUCCAGUAGAGCUGAAGCAGCACAGAUAACAAGCACCAUCUGAAAUAGCAUUUGACACAAUGGGAACCAGACUGAAGAUUCAGUGAUGUGGAUGCCUUGUUCCCAGGGCUGCGAGCAAGGGGAGGAGAUUUCCAUGAAGAUGGAGAUGUCCUGGGACGCGAGUGCUCUCUGUGAUGGAUCCUUGUUUAAAAGGCGGGCCUCAUUCACAUUCUAUGAUCUGUGGAGUUUCUUACUUCAUAAAUGGUGUCACCAGGGAAGAAAGUGGUUUUCAACACGAGUGAAUGUGACAGCAUCUGGGACUCUAGUGAAGUCUAGCCUACUCUGAACUGGGAAUUGAAGAAGCUUAACCCUGCUCUGUGAGUCACUGGCAGAAUCAGGACAAAAACAAGAAUCUCUUGUUACCAGCUCUGUGAUCCAAACUCUGCUGUCCCAACCUUUCAUUAACACAGUGGUAGCGCUUAGAGAUUUGGUCUGUUUUUCUGCAGGAUAAACUUUCACCUAUUUUUGUGGUAGGCAGGAACUCCUCGCCUCUCCUUGCUCUUCAUUAACUGUCUCUGCUCCCAUAAACACUAGGAGUGCUGGGCUCCAGCUGGCUGGUGUGGGCACGAAACAGCGAAUGCUGGCAAACGCCAAAUGUUUGUUGCCCACUGGGCUGCCCCUAGCCUCUCACCUGGGUAGGCAUCCCCCCACAGCUCUUCCAGUUGUUUUCAGUGGGAUGCUGCAACCCAAUGUGAGCAUAUUAGAAGGCUGUGAGUCAGGCCUCCUAGAAGAGUCAUGCAUGACUUAAAAUCACAAGGAUGAUCAAAAACAAUAAAAUGCAUGUUUUCUAUUUGCCUCUGGGCUUUCUGAAGUUAAGGCACACCCGCGAAGGCUAGAAACUCGGGGCACUCAUUUUUCAUGAGCUGCGUGCAAGGCCUUUUCUCUUCCUUCUUUUUUCUGUUUUACUGAAACGCUUACAAUAAAAUGACCAGAAUUGGCAACAUUGGUUCUAUUGCUGAAAGUACUCCAUGAAAUCAAAUGAGAGAUUUACCUUUUCUGUCCAAAAAGUGGGAUUUGAUUUUUUGCAACAACAAAAUUACUCCAUGUUUGGAUAUAUAGGACUACUUUAGGAAAAUAUAGAUAGCUUUUGCUGAGAUUUUGUUUUUAGGUUGUCAGUGGCUUGGUGUUGGAUAAAAGUCACAAUAAGGCUGAUUGUCCCCCUGACAUUGUACCUUCAGCACACGGCUGACUGUGCCAUGGCUUUGGCUUUGGCUUGGCAUGUUUACCUCUUCUUUUUGCAUUCAGGUGGCUUGGUGCGAUUCGGCUGAUCACAUUCUUAGAAUCAUAGAAUGGUUUGGGUUGGAAGGGACCUUUAAGAUCAUCUCUUUCCAACCCCCCUGCCUAUAGCAGGUGUCUAGUGGGACACCUCCCACUAGACUAGGUUCUUAAUGUUCUUAUUCCAAGCUUUCUCUCAUUUUUCCUCCUCCCUAAAUGAAUUCUGAGCCUUAUAGCAAGACGCUAGAAAGGCUGAGCUUGGCAUACCCCACCAUUCAGACUAAACAACUGGCUGGCAGCCGUGCUCUUGGAUAAAUGGGAAUGCUGCAAAAUGAGUGUGCAGCUCAGCCAGGUGGGUGAAAGACUCCAUCCAAGAGUAAGGAAAGACUCUAAGAGUAAGUCAUGCGUUCCCUUGGGAACUCAUUGCUGUCCCAAACAUUACCUCUCUGUGCUUCCUGUGCUAGAUGCAGUUCCUA
Molecule: long non-coding RNA, 2445 nt
Organism: Numida meleagris (helmeted guineafowl)
Lineage: Eukaryota; Metazoa; Chordata; Aves; Galliformes; Numididae
Exons: 3
Source: RefSeq, a predicted model, not a curated record